UACGGCCGCAUCACGUUGAAACAUUGGUUCCCGUACGAUCACCAAAGUUAAGUAACAUUUACCCUGGUCAGUACCUAAAUCGGUGACCGCUUUGGAAUACUUGGUGAUGCAGG
This is a non-coding RNA of Acanthosepion pharaonis, 113 nucleotides long. The record is from the annotation of a GenBank genome assembly. Lineage: Eukaryota; Metazoa; Mollusca; Cephalopoda; Sepiida; Sepiidae.